AUAAAGUAAAUUCAAUUACGCGGCUACUUUGUAAAUCCCCCAGGAUCACACGCCUAGGAAAAGGAGGCGUCCUGCCUGCUGCGUGUGUGACAUUCAUGUGGGCAGAGUGUCGCGUCCCAAAAGAAAUUUUCGAAAAUAAAUAGAAUUCCGGCAAAGUCAAAGCAGGGUAAACAAGUGCAAAGUGUUGGGCGCCGAAGGGGAAUCCAUGGCAACUAAUCAGAAAUUCCGUCUCAUGCGCUGAUGUGAAGUGUGCCAGUGCCACCAAAAAAAAAAAAAAAACAUAAAAAGGAGCGACAGACAGCACAGGACGAAGACGGACCCGCGAUAAGGAGAUCCAGGACAGAAGCCCAGGACAGAAACCCAGCCCAAGUGGCAUCGCUGCGGCGCCUGGGAUUAUGCAAAAUUCAAUUUGCAACUUAAAUGUGUUUAUUUUGCGUUACGCUGCUGGGGCAAUUUUUAUUUCCACUGAAAAUGAGGGAUUUACUUACUUACCAAGUGGGUGGAGUCGCCUGCUCCUGCCAGGCGAGUCCUGCCGAGCGAUAAGCAAAAGGGUGCCCGGAAAAGCGGGGCGAAGAGCGUUACCAAACCAAUGAGCAAU
Non-coding RNA from Drosophila melanogaster (fruit fly), 598 nucleotides. The record is from Ensembl. Lineage: Eukaryota; Metazoa; Arthropoda; Insecta; Diptera; Drosophilidae.